AGUACAGUCAGCUAAUUAAGCUUUUGGGCCCAUACCCCAAACAUGAUGGUUAAAAUCCUUCCUUUACUA
This 69-nucleotide transfer RNA is filed under the name Novumbra hubbsi. Its description in RNAcentral is "tRNA-Met". It matches the Rfam family "tRNA". Rfam says of the family: Transfer RNA (tRNA) molecules are approximately 80 nucleotides in length. Lineage: Eukaryota; Metazoa; Chordata; Actinopteri; Esociformes; Umbridae. The record is from RNAcentral.